GCGGGGCUAGUUUAAUGGUAGAAUAGAAGUUUUCCAAACUUUUGGUGGGAGUUCGAUUCUCCCGCCCCGCA
This 71-nucleotide transfer RNA is filed under the name bacterium. RNAcentral's name for it is "tRNA-Gly". It matches the Rfam family "tRNA". From Rfam's summary of the family: Transfer RNA (tRNA) molecules are approximately 80 nucleotides in length. Their secondary structure includes four short double-helical elements and three loops (D, anti-codon, and T loops). RNAcentral also lists the same sequence under 1 other name. The record is from RNAcentral.